GGCGAUGGCGGCGGCGGUGGCGCGCGCGCACGCACGCACGCACGUACGCCAGCGGCCGGCGGGGCAGCAGGCUCGCGCCCGGGCUCGCCCCGCGCCGCGCCAGAGGCUCGCGCACUCAGCAGGUUGGGCUGCGGCGGCGGCGGCGGCAGCAGCUGUGGAAGCUGAGGCGCUGUGCGUGAGAGGUUCCAGACACGUCUGCGGUUCCGGCUCCGCCACCCUCCUCCGCCUCUCUCACCCAGGUCUCGGAGCUGGGCCCUGAAGGAGGGAACGGCCGUAGCCUUGGGAAGCCAGAGCACACCCCUGGCUCCUGCCGACACCGCCCUCCUUCCCUUCCCAGCCGCGGGCCUCGCUCAGUGCUAGGCGACUCUGCGGGGAGGCGGCGGCGGCGGCUGCCAGUCUGUGGAGAGUCCUGCUGCCCUCCAGCCCUGCUCCUCCGCCGGGCCCUGCAGGGGCCGAGAGAGCUCGGCGCCCGCCUUUCCGCUCGCCUUUUUCGUCAGCGGGUUGGAGCAGCGUCGGUCCCGGAGGUCUCUGGGCUGAGGCGGCGGCAGCUCCUCUGGUUCCACCAUGUCGGCGGGCGGAGACUUCGGGAAUCCGCUGAGGAAAUUCAAGCUGGUGUUCCUGGGGGAGCAAAGCGGUG
This is a long non-coding RNA of Cebus imitator (Panamanian white-faced capuchin), 637 nucleotides long. RefSeq lists it as uncharacterized. The record is from RefSeq and is a predicted model, not a curated record. The transcript has a single exon. NCBI's taxonomy places the organism in Eukaryota, Metazoa, Chordata, Mammalia, Primates, Cebidae.